GAGUUGUGGGCUUUGCCUGCUAUCUCUUACCCAUGUCUUUUGAGUACUUACGUUUCCUCGGUGGGUUCGCCCGCCGAUUGGACAAUUUAAACCCUUUGCAGUUGCAAUCAGCGUCUGAAAAACAUAAUAGUUACAACUUUCAACAACGGAUCUCUUGGUUCUGGCAUCGAUGAAGAACGCAGCGAAAUGCGAUAAGUAGUGUGAAUUGCAGAAUUCAGUGAAUCAUCGAAUCUUUGAACGCACAUUGCGCCCCUUGGUAUUCCAUGGGGCAUGCCUGUUCGAGCGUCAUUUGUACCUUCAAGCAUUGCUUGGUGUUGGGUGUUUGUCUCGCCUUUGCGUGUAGACUCGCCUUAAAACAAUUGGCAGCCGGCGUAUUGAUUUCGGAGCGCAGUACAUCUCGCGCUUUGCACUCAUAACGACGACGUCCAAAAGUACAUUUUAACACUCUUGACCUCGGAUCAGGUAGGGAUACCCGCUGAACUUAAGCAUAUCAAUAAGCGGGGGAAA
RNAcentral lists this ribosomal RNA (507 nucleotides) under Phoma herbarum. RNAcentral's name for it is "eukaryotic LSU rRNA". The stretch from base 135 to 288 matches the Rfam family "5.8S ribosomal RNA". Lineage: Eukaryota; Fungi; Ascomycota; Dothideomycetes; Pleosporales; Didymellaceae. The record is from RNAcentral.